CCUACGGGAGGCAGCAGUGAGGAAUAUUGGUCAAUGGGCGGAAGCCUGAACCAGCCAAGUAGCGUGCAGGAUGACGGCCCUACGGGUUGUAAACUGCUUUUAUACGGGAAUAACGCGCCUUACGUGUAGGGCUUUGCAUGUACCGUAUGAAUAAGGACCGGCUAAUUCCGUGCCAGCAGCCGCGGUAAUACGGAAGGUCCGGGCGUUAUCCGGAUUUCAUGGGGUUAAAGGGAGCGUAGGCCGCAUGUCAAGCGUGCUGUGAAAUGGCCGGGCUCAACCCGGGCCUUGCAGCGCAAACUGGCGUGCUGGAGUCCGCGGAAGGCAGGCGGAAUUCGUGGUGUAGCGGUGAAAUGCUUAGAUAUGACGAAGAACCCCGAUUGCGAAGGCAGCUUGCUGCAGCGGAACUGACGCUGAUGCUCGAAAGCGCGGGUAUCGAACAGGAUUAGAUACCCCUGUAGUC
RNAcentral lists this ribosomal RNA (460 nucleotides) under uncultured bacterium. RNAcentral's name for it is "partial 16S ribosomal RNA". It matches the Rfam family "Bacterial small subunit ribosomal RNA", at positions 338 to 795 of the family's 1533-position model. The record is from RNAcentral.